RNAcentral lists this ribosomal RNA (253 nucleotides) under uncultured bacterium. RNAcentral describes it as "partial 16S ribosomal RNA". It matches the Rfam family "Bacterial small subunit ribosomal RNA", at positions 524 to 776 of the family's 1533-position model. The record is from RNAcentral.
UACGUAGGGACCAAGCGUUGUUCGGAUUUACUGGGCGUAAAGGGCGCGUAGGCGGCAAUUCAAGUCAGUUGUGAAAUCUCCGAGCUUAACUCGGAACGGUCAACUGAUGCUGUUUUGCUAGAGUACAGAAGGGGCAAUCGGAAUUCUUGGUGUAGCGGUGAAAUGCGUAGAUAUCAAGAGGAACACCUGAGGUGAAGACGGGUUGCUGGGCUGACACUGACGCUGAAGCGCGAAAGCUAGGGGAGCAAACGGG